Molecule: long non-coding RNA, 1626 nt
Organism: Cyprinus carpio carpio
Lineage: Eukaryota; Metazoa; Chordata; Actinopteri; Cypriniformes; Cyprinidae
Source: Ensembl
CACACAUAAAAACUGCUUUUGGGAAUACAGGACCCAUUCCUGCCAUUUGCUCCAAAAUCAGACAUCAGAAGACUAUAGAGAACGGUUCAGACUGCUGAAAGGAUUAUUGGUGCUCCCCUGCCCACCCUCCAAGAACUGUAUACAUCCAGAGUGAGGAAAAGGGCUCUGGAUCCCUCACAUUCAAGCCAAUCUCCUUUUUGAACUUUUGCCAUCUGGUCAACGCUACAGAGCACUGAAUACCAGGAAAGUCAGGCACAAGAACAGUUUCUUUCCCCAGGCAAUCUACCUCAUGAACAGUUAAAUGUUCUCCCAUUGUGCAAUAAAAGAGCUGGCUCAAGCCCUGCUGUGUUACGCUCAUUUAAAGAGCACAGUGACCCUGGAACUCACAUGGAACAUGGCCCCAUUCAGUGUAAUACAAAACACCCCAACACAAUAUGCAGCUGAAGGUUGUCAACUGAUGUGGUGAGAAUGAGAGAGCGUUUUGACCUAGAUUGUGGCGUGCAGUGAACGUUGUGUUGAGAAGCCAAGGACUUUGAAAUCUUUGAGUACAUGGAGUCUGUAGAAAAAUGAUGUCAGAAGGAUUUAUGAUCCCAAGAACAUGCUGUCCCAGGAAAGCAGUUUUUUCCACACAUCUCUCUCUCUUUCUCUCUCUCUCUCUUCCUUUCUUUCUCUGUGUUUGAGAUGAGCAGGGAGCUGAAUCAAGUCUUUGUCCUUAGCCUAAGACACUGAAGAGGAUUAUCUAUAUGAAGGAGGGUUGCAUCAUAAGGUCCAUCAUGUUGAUGUCGCAUCACCAACCGAAUGCUAUGCUUUAUCCUGGUAGCCCCUCUAAUUUGUGAACAGUGUUAUAAAGUAAAACAAAGCUCUUUUCAUCAGAAAGAUACAACAGCAAAAUAAGAUGAUUACAAUAUAUUCAGUUUCAAGGUCACCCAAGCACCUGAUCUCACCCACUGUCCUGUUAGUGUCUGCUCUUGAACACAUUGCACAGUAGUUUAUUAACAAAAAGUUUAUAUCUACAGGCAAACAAAAAUCAUUCACUUUUACUGAGAAUAUUACAAUAUUCAGUAGUAGCUGACUGGGUUUAAAUGUACAGGUGUCCGUUUCAGGUAAUAACUGUAGUUUGUUUUAGCUAACGGUCAAUUAUAAGCACUUUGAUGCAGUUUCAUGUAUAUAAUUUGAGGAGAACUACUGUAUAUCUAAAACUAUGAUCUGUGACAUAAAAUUAAAUGCUGCCAAAAUGUCCUAAAGUCAACACUUGCUUUGCCAAUAAAGUGUCGUAAUCCUUAUGGGGUUAUGUAAGAUGCAGUCAUUCAGGUGUAUGUCCUAGACAUUCUCAACCUGAAUGAUAGUGUUACCAAUGUUACUGUAAAACAAGACAAGGCUUAUUGAAGUCAACAUAAUGUUUUCCUUCUGACUCAGUUAUUGUGUUACAUAUGAAUAGGUACACUUAUUUUUCAAAGCACUUGGAAGAAAUAAAUGGCUGGUUGUUUUAAUAUUGUGUGUGUAAAGCUCACCUGCAGAACUUUAGCAACAUUAUCAACCCGCAGCAAUAUUAUCUGGCAGAUUGUGGUUGAGAGGAGUGGUUUAAGUUAGGAAUAUCUUGCCUGUGGGUUCUUCUUUCCCAUUCAG